UACAGAGGUCCCAAGCGUUGUUCGGAUUCACUGGGCGUAAAGGGUGCGUAGGUGGCCAGGUAAGUUUGGUGUGAAAGCUCGGAGCUUAACUCCGAAAAGUCAUUGAAUACUAUCUGGCUGGAGGGUCGGAGGGGAGACUGGAAUUCUCGGUGUAGCAGUGAAAUGCGUAGAUAUCGAGAGGAACACCAGUGGCGAAGGCGAGUCUCUGGACGACUCCUGACACUGAGGCACGAAAGCUAGGGGAGCAAACA
RNAcentral lists this ribosomal RNA (251 nucleotides) under uncultured bacterium. Its description in RNAcentral is "partial 16S ribosomal RNA". It matches the Rfam family "Bacterial small subunit ribosomal RNA", at positions 524 to 774 of the family's 1533-position model. The record is from RNAcentral.